Molecule: long non-coding RNA, 294 nt
Filed under: Ananas comosus (pineapple)
Lineage: Eukaryota; Viridiplantae; Streptophyta; Magnoliopsida; Poales; Bromeliaceae
Description: long non-coding RNA (ACOM_LNC012299)
Source: RNAcentral
UGAAACUUUAAAUCUAUCCUCAUAAAAAUAAUUUUGACAUAUUUUCAAGUUUUCAUAAUUUUCUGACACUAUGAAUUUUCUGCUAAAAUAUCAGUCCCGUUUCUCACAGAAAAUUCUAAAUCUUCUGUUUCCGUUCCGAUUGUAGCACAAGUCGUUUCCGACUUAUGUUUUACUUCUUUAAGUCCAAUAAAAAUAGUAUCUCACAGUAUUUUUAUUUAUAUUUACUUUUAUAUUAAAAUUCGGUACAUUACAUUGCUCGACACCCACUUGAGCCAACGUCGCCUGCUGUUGCGU